RNAcentral lists this ribosomal RNA (793 nucleotides) under uncultured archaeon. RNAcentral describes it as "bacterial SSU rRNA". It matches the Rfam family "Archaeal small subunit ribosomal RNA", at positions 85 to 879 of the family's 1478-position model. The record is from RNAcentral.
ACGGCUCAGUAACACGUGGACAACCUGCCCUUAGGUUGGGUAUAAACCCGGGAAACUGGGUAUAAUACCCGAUAGGUCUCGAUUGCUGGAAUGCAUCGAGAUUUAAAGCUCCGGCGCCUAAGGAUGGGUCUGCGGCCUAUCAGGUAGUAGUGGGUGUAGCGUACCUACUAGCCUACGACGGGUACGGGUUGUGAGAGCAAGAGCCCGGAGAUGGAUUCUGAGACACGAAUCCAGGCCCUACGGGGUGCAGCAGGCGCGAAAACUUUACAAUGCUGGCAACAGCGAUAAGGGAACCUCGAGUGCCAGGUUACAAAUCUGGCUGUCGAGAUGCCUAAAAAGCAUUUCAUAGCAAGGGCCGGGCAAGACCGGUGCCAGCCGCCGCGGUAACACCGGCGGCUCGAGUGGUAACCGUUAUUAUUGGGUCUAAAGGGUCUGUAGCCGGCCGGAUAAGUCUCUUGAGAAAUCUGGCAGCUUAACUGUCAGGCUUUCAGGAGAUACCGUCUGGCUCGAGGCCGGGAGAGGUGAGAGGUACUUCAGGGGUAGGGGUGAAAUCUUGUAAUCCUUGAAGGACCACCAGUGGCGAAGGCGUCUCACCAGAACGGACCUGACGGCAAGGGACGAAAGCUAGGGGCACGAACCGGAUUAGAUACCCGGGUAGUCCUAGCCGUAAACGAUACUCGCUAGGUGUCGGCCACGGUGCGACCGUUGUCGGUGCCGUAGGGAAGCCGUGAAGCGAGCCACCUGGGAAGUACGGCCGCAAGGCUGAAACUUAAAGGAAUUGGCGGGGGAGCAC